GCGGGUUUACGACCUCGAUGUUGGAUCAGGGUAUCCCAGUGGUGCAGCCGCUACUAAAGGUUCGUUUGUUCAACGAUUAAAACCCUACGUGAUCUGAGUUCAGACCGGAGUAAUCCAGGUCAGUUUCUAUCUAUAAAGAGCUUUUUCUAGUACGAAAGGACCGAAAAAACAUGGCCCAUGCAUAAUGUAAGCCAUACUUAAUAAUUUAUGACUUAAACUCAAUAAAUACUUAACCUUCAACAAGACUCAAAACAAGAGUAGUU
This 263-nucleotide ribosomal RNA is filed under the name Hyla felixarabica. RNAcentral's name for it is "partial 16S ribosomal RNA". It matches the Rfam family "Bacterial large subunit ribosomal RNA", at positions 2512 to 2834 of the family's 2925-position model. The record is from RNAcentral. Lineage: Eukaryota; Metazoa; Chordata; Amphibia; Anura; Hylidae.